GAUGAACGCUGGCGGCGUGCCUAAUACAUGCCAGUCGAGCGAACAGAUGAGGAGCUUGCUCCUCUGACGUUAGCGGCGGACGGGUGAGUAACACGCGGAUAACCUACCUAUAAGACUGGGAUAACUUCGGGAAACCGGAGCUAAUACCGGAUAAUAUAUUGAACCGCAUGGUUCAAUAGUGAAAGACGGUUUUGCUGUCACUUAUAGAUGGAUCCGCGCCGCAUUAGCUAGUUGGUAAGGUAACGGCUUACCAAGGCAACGAUGCGUAGCCGACCUGAGAGGGUGAUCGGCCACACUGGAACUGAGACACGGUCCAGACUCCUACGGGAGGCAGCAGUAGGGAAUCUUCCGCAAUGGGCGAAAGCCUGACGGAGCAACGCCGCGUGAGUGAUGAAGGUCUUCGGAUCGUAAAACUCUGUUAUUAGGGAAGAACAAAUGUGUAAGUAACUAUGCACGUCUUGACGGUACCUAAUCAGAAAGCCACGGCUAACUACGUG
RNAcentral lists this ribosomal RNA (497 nucleotides) under uncultured bacterium. Its description in RNAcentral is "partial 16S ribosomal RNA". It matches the Rfam family "Bacterial small subunit ribosomal RNA", at positions 28 to 507 of the family's 1533-position model. The record is from RNAcentral.